GACGAACGCUGGCGGCGUGCUUAACACAUGCAAGUCGAACGGAAAGGCCCUGCUUUUGUGGGGUGCUCGAGUGGCGAACGGGUGAGUAACACGUGAGUAACCUGCCCUUGACUUUGGGGUAACUUCAGGAAACUGGGGCUAAUACCGGAUAGGAGCUCCUGCUGCAUGGUGGGGGUUGGAAAGUUUCGGCGGUUGGGGAUGGACUCGCGGCUUAUCAGCUUGUUGGUGGGGUAGUGGCUUACCAAGGCUUUGACGGGUAGCCGGCCUGAGAGGGUGACCGGGGAGAUGGGGAGAGAGAUAGGGCCCAGACGGCAACGGGAGGCAGAAGUGGGGAGUGUGGCACAGUGGGCGGAAGUCUGAUGCAGCAGCGCCGCGUGCGGGAUGAGGGCCUGCGGGUAGUGAACCGAUUUCGACUGUGACGAAGCGUGAGGGACGGUAAGGGGUAAAGAAGCACCGGCUAACUACGUG
This 468-nucleotide ribosomal RNA is filed under the name uncultured bacterium. RNAcentral's name for it is "partial 16S ribosomal RNA". It matches the Rfam family "Bacterial small subunit ribosomal RNA", at positions 28 to 507 of the family's 1533-position model. The record is from RNAcentral.